AUGGUGAAGUUGGCAGCUGCCCUUUUGUGUGCAGGUUGCUUUCUGCUCACGGUCACAGGCAAUGAUGAUUUUGACUUAGCAGAUGCUCUUGACAAAGGUACCCCAAAGCCUCCUCCAGCUACCAAAAAGCCUUCAGUGGAUGGCAACUCCAGACCUAAGCUGUAUCCUGACCUUAGACCACACGGAGGUGGCAACGGAAACAAUGAUCCCGACUUUCACUUAGGAGAUGCCCUCGGUGCUGGUGAUGGUCCUCCUCCGAACCCUCAGCCAUACCCACGUCCACGUCCACAGCCAGGAAGCCAUAUUAAUUCUGGUGAUUUUAAUGAUUUGGAUCUCAAUGAUGGAAGACCUCCACCUCCAGGACCAGCAGGUAACCUACAGUUAUUCAGGUCCUUCACACUGGUUCACAGUCCUCCUCUCAACAUAUCAUAG
This 432-nucleotide long non-coding RNA is filed under the name Podarcis muralis (Common wall lizard). Its description in RNAcentral is "lncRNA (ENSPMRG00000007859.1)". Lineage: Eukaryota; Metazoa; Chordata; Lepidosauria; Squamata; Lacertidae. The record is from RNAcentral.